GCGCGUGCGCGAUCCGCUAGCUUAAGACGGUCGACGUCGCAACACUGUGUCGAGAGAACACGAGCGAGGAUGAAAGUAGCGCGCGUACCUGGUACCCGGUCAGCGCGUUCUGUCGUCUUCGAGGCUGGCUGGUACCAAGAUUAGUCGUUUAAGGCUAAUGUCACGGGACCCUUUGCAGCUUUCGCGAGGUGCUACUCGCGCCCUUUCCCCGACGACCGGCCACCUAUCCGGGCGUGAUGAGAGACAGGAUAGCACCUGGGUCAAACGGGAAAGGGCUGUGGACGAUUUAUCGAAGUCUCAUCCGCCACGUGCCACGGACGAUCCUCUUUCAUGAUCUAUUUUUUUUUCUCUUUUCUAUGCGUACCUUCAGUAUUCCCGACGCCGUGGAUCGAGACCGAUCAGGCUGGAUCGCGUUCGAUCGCUCGACUGGCUACGUGGCGGAGCUGCGCACUGUCGUAGUCGUCGUUGCAGGUGGUAUUUUUAUAAUUUGUAUGUUCGACGAUAAGUAUUAAUCACACUGACAGAGGACACUUACGUGACGAACCGACAUACACGCAAACACACACACACAUGCAAACACACACACGCAGAGACAUUCAGACGCAGGUUUCUUAGCUGAUAGGUGCUUAGGAUUGUGUAGAGUCUUAAUCGUAUAAGUAAGGACGAGCAAGUAUCGCCAAAGUAUCAUUUGGCGUGGAAGGACCGUUGAACAUAUCGCUAAUUAGAUUGAAGAAUACGAGGCGUUCGUACACGCGCGCGUUCAGGAUGCUGUGACAAAAAUUUCGGGGCGAUUCUAGAGCGCCUGGGCAUGAGACAAGUUCUUCAGGCUCGUUCAGGUCCGGCUGACGAUUAGUUCCUGAUCUCCGAGCAUUCCUUUCGACAGGCAAAAUGAAAAAAAAAAUAAUAAUAAAACGCGCCCCGUAGGCGACGUAGAACGAACCGAUCAGAAGGAGAGAAUCUUCGGUGUGCGGGUCUGUUGUGUUACAGAGCGUUCGUGCAGCGCUGGUGUCGUGUGUAAUGUUCUAAGAUUAACAAAAAACACUAAUGAUACACACCUAGUAGCCUAAAUAGUCCGCAAGAGCGUUAAAUAUAUUCUCUAGAGAUAUUCACAAUGGAGGGGCCCAUUUUGUUGAAACAAAAGGAGAACGACGAUGAGUAUUGGCGUGGAUAGGAUCAGAUUGUGUCCUCGUGUCAAGAAGCGUAGAUUAUCAGUAGUAUCGUAGAGUCGUGAUAAAAACUGAACGGGGCUAUCGAAGGGAUCGUUCCGACGAUACUGCUCCAGAAUCUCUCGACCCACCUGACCUGCGUGGCCUCCACACAGGUGCCCAGCGUCGUCGCGACCCUCCCGCGAGAGACCCGUCGUUUUUUGUCAAACCGACAUUCUGUUGGAGUCAAUUAAAUCUUAUUAAUAUACGUAUCGAUCGUAGAGAGACGUAGAACGCAAGGAGAACAAUGUUUCCGCGUAUGGUUGAUUGGCUGAGCGUGCGAAAGGAGAGCCUGACGUGUGCCAGAUGUGUGCGUGCGUGAGAUGAAGUGUGAUGGAAAAAACCGAGAAAAUUACAAAAAAACGUAUAUAUAUGUAUAUUAAAAAGCGAGUGCCGGCCCGGGCAGUGUUGUUUGUGCCAAAGUAGGCUAGCCGUUAACUCUAGGAUGGGAUGUGUCGAGUCACGAAGAGAUGUUACUUGCCACCGCACGAACGUCGACUAUUUGCACCAAACAGAUGGCGGUGUUCGUCGGGAGGUCGACCAAAAUCAACAAGUAGAGACGUAGCGAGUAGCCGGCAUGAGCGAAGGGGCCAGUCUUUGCAUCUAUGAUCUGUCUUUCGAAUCUCCCACGUAAUUGUUUAAUCCGACGACUGCAUUUAUAGAUUCUACGAGAGGCGCUGGUCAGGCGUCAACACACUGGCUGUACACACGAAUACACGCGUUUUGUUUCUUGGCUUCCUCGGAACGGGCUUGUUCCGGUGUUCAGGCUGUGACGCCGGAGGAGGCUGCUUCUUGUUCUUUUUAGAACACGCGACAGUUAACUGCCGGAACGAGCUUCAGCCUCUCCGCCGUCGCCAUUUUACCUCGCAGUUGUCCUGCGUUCCGUCUUCGAUCCUAUGUUCUUCAAGUAUUAUCCAAAGCAGGCUCUUUCAAUCUCGCGCCCGCGAGCGCACAAAUUGUCCCUGUCUUCGACUGAGGACCACUCGCACAAUAGUAUUUCCGGCACAAUUGCAAGCGUACCUGAAAAGCCUGUAAACGUUUCGUUCUUUUUUUUUUAAGAAUUUCCGGACACAUUCCCGUUCACACACUCACACGAUCACGUACACGUAUACACGGAUCUGGGCAGACUUGCCUGCAGGACACUCGACAAUGAUUUCUUUAUUUACUUCCCUCCUGAUUUUAAGGGGAGACUUCCACCGUUAACCGGGAAUUUCUAUUUGAGGGACAGUAGUACAGCUUUAAGACAAACAAUCAAUUUGAUAUCAGCCAUUUUGAUCUUCUUGUUCGAAACAAUCUGUUGAAGCAUUGAAGGUUUGAAGAGGUGUGAACCGGUUGUUUUUUGAAGACACCCUGUAGAGGGUUUAGAUCGAGUAUAUCACUAGCUGGGUUGAGGGGGGCCGAUGUGAGAGUUGGGAUAGCCAGCACUCGCUACAUGGUGUUGCAGAUAUUCAGGCUCCGAAAUUUCUCCAGACCAAUGAAAAAUCUCCUUGCGAAAUUCUAGAAAAAUCGUUCUAAUAUAUUGUAUACAGAUAUUCGACGCGAUCUCUUCAUAUAGACGUAUUUUUAUAUAAUAGAGACAGAAGGAAAGAACGUGUGACCAAUGAGAUUGCUCGAUCGACUUCGAUCAGGAGGAAGUUUGAAACUGUUUGAAAUCAUCCCGGUUCAUACACCGUGGAUUGCUCCUUCCAUUUCUCUUUUCUUUAACUCAUUGAUACCUUGGGGAUUGGUUGUUGCCACUGAGAUGAUUGUUUUUUUAAUUAUUUUUAAAUAUAAAAUGUUAGAUUAUAGACUAUAAUAUAGAUUGUCAAGGAUUAUUAAUAGUACUGCCUUUGUAAUUGCAAAAAUUUGUCAAACUUUGUCAAACCAAAUUGCACUUCAAUUAAUGCAUAUCAAUAGUUAUUGAUAUUAACAUGCUCCUCUCUGUCAGUAAUUAAAUGUGUCUUGAUGUUUGAUCAGUUGACAUAAGAGGAACCAACAAACCUUAUGGAACAUUGAGAAGUGUCAUUGGACCUCAACAAACAUCAUCAAACUUUGUCAAACAUUAAGAAGUGUCAUUGGACCUCAAACAUCAUCAAACCUUGUCAAACAUUAAGAAGUGUUAUUGGACCUCAAACAUCAUGAAACAUUAUUAAACAUUAAGAAAUGUUAUUGAACCUCAACAAACAUCAUCAAACUUUGUCAAACAUUAAGAAGUAUCAUUGGACCUCAAACAUCAUCAAACAUUAUUAAACAUUAAGUAAUGUCAAUGGACUUCAACAAACAUCAUCAAACCUUGUCAAACAUUAAGAAGUGUCAUUGGACCUCAAACAUCAUCAAACCUUGUCAAACAUUAAGAAGUGUUAUUGGACCUCAAACAUCAUGAAACAUUAUUAAACAUUAAGAAAUGUCAUUGGACUUCAACAAACAUCAUCAAACUUUGUCAAACAUUAAGAAGUGUCAUUGGACCUCAAACAUCAUUAAACAUUAUUAAGUAUUAAGAAAUGUCAUUGGACCUCAACAAACAUCAUCAAACCUUAUCAAACACUAAGAAGUGUCCUUCGACAUUUUGAAGUGUCAUCAAACAUUAAACCUUAUCAAACACUAAAAAGUGUCACUUAUGACAUUUUGAAGUGUCAUCAAACAUCAAACCUUAUCAAACCCAAAUCUCAAAGAGCAACAACCAUAAUCCGUAAGUAUCACUUCAUGAAAACGUUUCAUGAUCAAAAUUGGAGUAAAGUCACGAUACGAAAGAAAGAAAACUGAAAACCAGUUCGGACCAAGGAAAUUCGGGGUCUGGUUCGAGCCACGCAGUAGACGAAGCUUAGCCUACAGAGGUUAAUUAGAAAUUAUAAAUAAACAAGAGUCAUGUAUGUACACACUUGAAAACAUUCACUCGAAACAACCCGACACACACGCAUACACACGUACACACUAUGUAUAUCUCCUAUAUAUUUGAUAUAUCGCAUUGUAACACAGGUGUGUCCAAAAGUGAGCAGCGGCUGCAUCCCAAUAAUAUCUAUAUUUUAUUAAUAAUUAAUAAGUCUAGGAUUAUCGUCGUUACGGUUCACUCGAUGAGCCACAAAAGAUUAAUCUAUAUUACGAGUUUAUUGUACAUUCGGUACUAGGGACACGAUGAUGAGCUACGAGGGUGUGAAAGCGCGCGAAAGUGACACGAGUGAAUGUCGGUAUAGCACAUGUGUAUAUCUCGUUCAUCGUGUAUGGUGUGUUUGCCUAAUCGGGGCCUUAGGCGUCGUUCAAAACCAAGAUUUAACUGGACCAGCGCUUAAUCGUCGAUUCUCGUCGCCCCCGGGAGCUAAUUAAUUAAAUUAAAUAAUAGGGAAUAAACGAUUUCGACGCUGUUCGAUCAAACUUUUUUUCUCCGUGUUAGAUAUUAUGGAGAAUUUAUAGGAAUGAUAUACAGGGUGACCCAACCUUUCGAAAUGGGUUGUCAAACUUUUCUAGCUUAAGAUUUACUUCUUCACUGAAAUUUUUAAUAAAAAAAUAUGACAAGUAGAAAAAUUUCAACAGAUUUCAGAAAGUACAAGUUCAAUCCCGGAGUAACAGCUGUGCGGCCCCUGUACAAUACGUAAUACCCACUUGGGUUUGAAAGUGUUAUUGAAAGUGAAAUUUUUGCUCCAUUUUCGUUCCAAAGGUUUGACUACCUAUUGUCACCCUGUGAACAUUUGGCAACGAGACAGGGAGAGAGGUAUACCUUUAACUGACCACCAUGGAAGCCAUGGUUUGUUGAAUAUUUCAUUGCUUUCCGGUUUAAGUGGACAUAUCAGCGAUCAUCGUGUCUAAGACUGUCUGGAAAGUACCUUCGUCGUUUCCGUUUCCAUUUUCUUUUCUUAUUUUAAUGGUGUGCCUCAAUGGGUUCGAGUGAUCUUAUCUUGCCUGCUUUCCAUGGGAACCACGUUUAGGCCAUGCGUAGAGUUGGUACAAUAGCGUCGAUACAUUGCCAAAAAUGAUGGUUUUGAGAGGGGAAAACGAGAACGAGCCUAAUCAGUGCCGAUGACCCCAGAUAUCAAGAUUAUUGGAGAUAAAGGUCGAGGACGAUCUUAUGGGACUUUAAGUGAGCGUUAAGUCGAGAUAUAAGAGAUUAUCUAAGGAAUAGCUGUUAAGUGGAGGACACAAAAUAACAAGUUUAGCGAAAUGAUUAUAAACGACACACACACGUGCAUGUGGUCCAAAGUAGACUUCUAUUCAAAAUUAAAUAAAUUUUCUUUUAGUAAAUUAUUGUCAAUUAACAAAAUUAAUAAAAUUCCACUGACAAAUUUUUAAUGGCAUACUAGAAAUUUUUGCUAAUUCUGAACAAUUUCAAAUUAUAAAAGUUAAAUAUUGUCAAUUUUUUUUCUAUUAUUUAAUUUGUAAAAAUUUGAAGAAUCGUGAAAUCUUGAAAGUGGAAUCAUAGGAAUUUUUGCAAAAUCGCUUUCGCCACGUGCACGAAAGAGUACAGUCAGAGAGAGAAAACACACACGUACACAGAAACGCAGAACACACAAUCUUAGCGUGUUAGACUCGUGUAGUAGAGCCCCCCUUUCUAAUUAAGCCUCCAGAUCUUUAACAAUUACUAAUGUAUAGGUAAACGACAAUCACUGGACUCUCUGUAUCGAGAAUCUUCGAUCCCUGAGCCGUUGGAAAAGCUGUCGAACGAACGAUUUAUCAGUCAUCAAAUACCUCGAUCUUUGUUUUAGCUGUCCACACUUACGUUCAUCUUUCUUCUUUCGAAUCUACACAGCGAGCAUUUUAUUUCUGUACCUUUUCAUGUAAGAUUCAAUAUUCCAGAUUUGAUCUUCCUUGUUUGAACUACUGUUACACUCCUGUGGUCCUCGUUGGCAUGUUUAAUCUGGGAUGAUUUACCUGUGAUGGCUAUUUACGCUAAGUUUGAAAUUUGGACAAGUUUUCUGGAUUCACUAGAGUUUGUAUAUUAUUUGGAGAUUUUUAGAGUCUGGAGGUUUCUGGAGGACUAGGUUGUUUGAGGUCCAUGUUACAAGACUCAGCAUUUAUCACAAGACUCUAGAUUAACUGAGGUUACAGGUCCUUCUGGGUCUGUAGAUCCAUCAUGAUCCCUAAGUUGGUCAGAGUCUCUAGGUUUUCUGGUGUCUCUAAGGUUUCCGGGGUCUCAAGGUUUUAUAGAGUCUCUAGGUUUCCUAGGAUCCAUAGAAUUACCAGGUUAGACGUUAUCACUUCAGACCUAUAAGUCCACUGGGACCUCUAAACUUGCCAGAGUCACUAAGUCCAAAUUCUCUAAGAUCUGAUAUCUCAGAGUCUCUAGGCUCUCAAAGUUUCCACACAUCCUAGGAUCCUCACAAUCACCAGGUCCCUUCAGAUCUUUAGGACCUCUAAUCUUGCCAGAGUCACUAGGUCCAAAUUCUCUAAGAUCUGGUAACCCAGAGUCUCUAGGCUCUCAAGGUUUCCACACAUCCUAGGAUCCUUACAAUCACCAGGUCCCUUCAGGUCUGUAGAUCCACUAGGACCUCUAAAUUUGCCAGAGUCACUAGGUCCAAAUUCUCUAAGAUCUGAUAUCUCAGAGUCUCUAGGCUCUCAAGGUUUCCACACAUCCUAGGAUCUCCACAAUCACCAGGUCCCUUUAGAUCUGUAGGUCCACUAGGUCCUCUAAACUUGACAGAGUCACUAGGUCCACAUCCUCUAAAAUCUGUGGGUGUUGCAACUAGGUUCCCCAGAGAAUCUAGUUUCUCAAGGUUUCCAGAUAUCCUAGGAUCUCCACAAUCACCAGGUCCCUUCAGAUUUGUAGGUCCACUAGGACCUCUAAACUUGACAGAGUCACUAGGUCCACAUCCUCUAGAAUCUGUGGGUGUUGAGUCUCCAGGUUUCCCAGAGUCUCUAGUUUCUCAAGGUUUCCAGAUACCCUAGGAUCUCCACAAUCACCAGGUCCCUUCAGAUAUGUAGAUCCACUAGGACCUCUAAAUUUGACAGAGUCACUAGGUCCACAUCCUCUAAAAUCUGUGGGUGUUGCAGAGUCUCCAGGUUUCGCAGAGUCUCUAGCUUAUCAAGGUUUCUAAAUAUCCUAGGAUUUCUACAAUCACCAGGUCCCUUUAGAUCUGUAGGUCCACUUAGACCUCUAAAUUUAACAGAGUCACUAGGUCCAAAACCUCAAAGACCUAUGGGUGUUUCAGAGUCUCUAGGUUUCGCAGAGUCUCUAGCUUAUCAAGGUUUCUAAAUAUCCUAGGUUCCUCAUGAUCACCAGAUCCCAUCAGAUGUGUAGAUCUCCUAAGACAUCUGGAGCUACUAGGAUCACUAGGUCCUCCACAUUUUCUGGGUCACCCAGAUCCUUUAAAAUCCUCAGAGUACCUAAUGUUCCUAAAUACUCUAAAUUCUUCAUAUGUUCCAUAUGUCCCAUGUUCCAUGUUCUAUGUUCCACAUGUAAAAUGUCCUAUGUUCUAUGUUCCAUGCUUAAUGUUCCUUAUUUCCUAUGUUCCACAUGUCCCAUAUUCUAUGUGGCAUGUUUAAUGUUCCUCAUGUCCUAUGUCCCAUAAUCCUAUGUUCCAUAUGUCCUAUGUUCCAUAUGUCCUAUGUUCCACAUGUCCUAUGUUGCAUAUGUCCUAGUAUUCCCAGGAUCUCCAAAGUUUCUCACCACCUUUAACCUUGAAAGGAUUGGAUUAACCUUGAAAGACCUGAAAGAAAGGAUUAACCUUGAAAGACCUGAAAGAAAGAAUUAACCUUGAAAGACCUGAAAGAAAGGAUUAACCUCGAAACUCACAUCAACAACUUUUGAACCUCCCC
Long non-coding RNA from Megachile rotundata (alfalfa leafcutting bee), 7928 nucleotides. NCBI's taxonomy places the organism in Eukaryota, Metazoa, Arthropoda, Insecta, Hymenoptera, Megachilidae. The record is from RefSeq and is a predicted model, not a curated record.